Molecule: ribosomal RNA, 459 nt
Filed under: uncultured bacterium
Lineage: Bacteria
Description: partial 16S ribosomal RNA
Rfam family: Bacterial small subunit ribosomal RNA
Source: RNAcentral
CCUACGGGUGGCUGCAGUGAGGAAUAUUGGUCAAUGGGAGAGAUCCUGAACCAGCCAAGCCGCGUGAGGGAAGACGGCCCUAUGGGUUGUAAACCUCUUUUGUCGGAGAACAAAACCCGGGACGUGUCCAGGACGGCGUGUAUCCGAAGAAAAAGCAUCGGCCAACUCCGUGCAAGCAGCCGCGGUAAUACGGAGGAAGCGAGCGUUAUCCGGUUUUAUUGGGUUUAAAGGGUGCGUAGGCGGUCCGGUAAGUCAGCGUGAAAGUUGCGGGGCUCAACCCCGUCGAGCCGUUGAAACUGGCAGACUUGAGUUGGCGAGAGGUACGCGGAAUUCGCGGUGUAGCGGUGAAAUGCAUAGAUAUCGCGCAGAACUCCGAUUGCGAAGGCAGCGUACCGGCGCCAGACUGACGCUGAGGCACGAAAGCGUGGGGAUCGAACAGGAUUAGAUACCCCAGUAGUC